RNAcentral lists this ribosomal RNA (256 nucleotides) under uncultured bacterium. Its description in RNAcentral is "partial 16S ribosomal RNA". It matches the Rfam family "Bacterial small subunit ribosomal RNA", at positions 524 to 776 of the family's 1533-position model. The record is from RNAcentral.
UACAGAGACCUCAAGCGUUAUCCGGAAUCACUGGGCGUAAAGCGUUCCGAUAGGUGGUUUGGUAAGUUCUUCGUGAAAGCCCGAAGCUCAACUUCAGAAUUGCGAAGAAAACUAUCAGACUAGAGGAGCAAAGAGGGUGCUGGAACUCUGGGUGUAGCGGUGAAAUGCGUUGAUAUCCAGAGGAACACUCAAAGCGAAGGCAGGCACCUGGGUGCUUCCUGACACUUCUAGGACGAAAGCGUGGGGAGCGAAUGGG